CAAAGCCGUAUAUUCAAAUUUCGCCUACCGUUGAAACUAUAAAUUUGUAAAGCGGCACGAAGCAGUCAUAAGUUUUCAAUAACUGCUGAAGUGAGCGCGGGAUGUCUUCAGCAUUUUUAUAAACAUCCAAGAGGCAGUCUAUCAAUGUAAAUCUUUGAAGAUUAUAUUGGGGACAGUCAAAGAAAAUGUGAUCAAGAGUUUGGAUGGAUAAAUUACAGAAUUGACAAGUUGGAGAAUCUAAAACACCGAUCCUAAAUAAAUGAGCACCACUACGAGAAUGUUCCAGAUGUAACCGACAAAUUAAAACAAGGGAGGAGAGAUUUCGUUUUUAAUGUCGGCUAACCAUUUGCCCUUUGUUUGAACAACUUGUUGCCAAUAAUUCUGAAAGUCUUGCAAGAAUGUACCUUUAAAAUGAGACAGUGCAUCUGUGUGUGGUAUGGGAAUGUUCAAAGCAGGACAUUUAAGGAUAGAAGAAUGGAUGAUAAUUGUUCUAAAUCAACAAUAUUAAAUGCUCCUACAACAUCCAAAAAAACACCAGCUAAUAUCUUAUUGUCAAUCUGGGCACUAUGGAUGUCAAUACAUAAAUGCCGUAGACUCUCACAAGCAGAACAACCGCAUCGAAAUCCAAAUUGAUUAUUAGAUUACUGUGUUGAGGAAUGUUGGAUGGAAUUGAAGAAGAUUCAGUUUCCGACACUACCAUGGAAAAUUUUGUGAUUGUAGGCAAGUGAUAGCUGCCCAAAGAGUCCUGAUGAACUUGCCAUUCACAGCACAGGAAUAAUGAAGAUGAUACUAUUGUUAGAUCUAGUCCAUUUGGUCUCCAAGAAUUAGUACCCACUGUAGUUGGUUGAUCAUUAUUUAAGAGCAUUAAGUCAUUAUCGUCCAUUACAUCCAUGAUGUCUCUACCUCUAGAAUUGGUUCUAUUACAACCCCAAAUGGUAUGGUGAGCAUUAAAAUCACCAGCAAUUGUUAGUGGUUUUGGAAUACUAGGCAACAGUCUAUUAAAUUUAGAUUUGUCAAAGUUAGGUACACUGUUGCCAGGACUAUAAAAGCUAACAAUUGAGAUGUCUUUUUGUUUGUAUUUAAUUUUGAUUGCUACAUUUUGCAAGGAGUUAUCAGAAAAUGUUUCAAACUUUUGAAAAUAAAUGCCAUUUCUAACAAAAAUUGCUACACCAUUGUGAUCAUUACCGCAAUCAUUUCUUAUUAUUGUAUAACCUCUGAUAGAAAACUGUAUAUUUGGUUUAAGCCAAGUUUCUGAUAUAAGUGCUAUGUGUAUGUCCUGCUCGUAAAGAAGGUUUUGAAGCUCAAGUCUGUUACUCAACAGACUUUGAGCAUUCCACUGUACUAUGUUAAGUUUGUGACAGUUGAAUGUGACGUUUUAUUUUUAAUUUCUAUGGUAUCUUUAAUAGCUGAACUAAUUGCGUGUGAGCUAAUGCUUUGAUUCUGUGUUUUAUUUAGUGUAAUGACUUUGAUUAUUGAUUCUGUGAUUAGGUUCAUUGCUGCUGGAUUGGAUAAAAUUAAAUUAGUGAUGUCUU
Leptidea sinapis is the source of this 1532-nucleotide long non-coding RNA. RefSeq lists it as uncharacterized. NCBI's taxonomy places the organism in Eukaryota, Metazoa, Arthropoda, Insecta, Lepidoptera, Pieridae. The transcript has 3 exons. The record is from RefSeq and is a predicted model, not a curated record.